Ctenopharyngodon idella (grass carp) is the source of this 901-nucleotide long non-coding RNA. RefSeq lists it as uncharacterized. Lineage: Eukaryota; Metazoa; Chordata; Actinopteri; Cypriniformes; Xenocyprididae. The record is from RefSeq and is a predicted model, not a curated record. The transcript has 2 exons.
GUUUUUAGGUGAGAAUGUAGUUGUUUAGACCUGAAAUAUGUGACUCAUUUUUAAUCAUAGCGCCUAUUUUACAAUUUGUUUAGAUGUUUUCGAGCUCCAGGCCGUCAGCGUGCUUUGGGGAUUUGCCGCUGGCUCUUAUAGUGGUUAAACAUGAGAUAUAAUUAAUUUUGGUUAUACAAAAUGGCCAAUCUUUGGUCUUUUUAAUCAUUCCUGUUCAAAUCGAAUUGGGCCAUGUUAAAUUUAAUAAUUUAUUAUUAAGGCUAUAUUUAGCUUGAGCUAGAGCACGGCUUUUGUGCGUUUGACUGAAUUGUACAAUUGUGUUUAUUUUCUAUUGCCAUUUAUAAAGGCUAUUUAUGGAAAUAAUAUGUUGUAUUUGGUAUUGAGAAAGGGUCCAUUAGUGCAUAAUAUGGAUUGAGUGAAACUUACAUUAAUACACCAUUAGAUGGCAGCAAUCUUUGCGAGUGAAUGAGUCAGUCGCAAGAGACUUUUAAAUUGAAAGAGACUUUUGUAAACAAAGGAAGUUGUUUUAGCGCUGUUAUAGAAAAUUCCCUUAACUGUAAAAAGGGCAAAUACAAAGAUCGCUUUCCUCAGUGGACAUUCAAAUGGAUUUUUAUAAUGGAUAUAAUAUUAUGAACAUCGACCUGAAGAAUGAAUGUUAUAUCAGACACAGGUGUCUGAAUGAUGUCACAUCCUGUCAGAAGAUACUGACCGCAUGACUUCAUCCAAAAUGGUCUCUUCAUAUUGGUUACUCUGAAUGACAUCAAUGAAAUUCAUCUUUCCGGACAUUCUUUCUCAUAACAAAGCAACGACUUCUACACAUCAUUUUAAUAUCAUUUUGCACCAUGUUGAUAUAUGAUGUUAUAAAAUCAUGCCAGAAUAAAACAUAUAUACAUUUAUUGCA